AGAGUUUGAUCAUGGCUCAGAUUGAACGCUGGCGGAAUGCUUUACACAUGCAAGUCGAACGAUGAACCUUAGCUUGCUAAGGGGAUUAGUGGCGAACGGGUGAGUAAUAUAUCGGAACGUGCCUUGUAAUGGGGGAUAACUAGUCGAAAGAUUAGCUAAUACCGCAUACGCCCUGAGGGGGAAAGUAGGGGAUCUUCGGACCUUACGUUAUAAGAGCGGCCGAUGUCUGAUUAGCUAGUUGGUGGGGUAAUGGCCUACCAAGGCGACGAUCAGUAGUUGGUCUGAGAGGACGACCAGCCACACUGGGACUGAGACACGGCCCAGACUCCUACGGGAGGCAGCAGUGGGGAAUUUUGGACAAUGGGCGAAAGCCUGAUCCAGCAAUGCCGCGUGAGUGAAGAAGGCCUUCGGGUUGUAAAGCUCUUUCAGUUGAGAAGAAAAGAUCGUGACUAAUAAUCACGAUUCAUGACGGUAUCAACAGAAGAAGCACCGGCUAACUA
Molecule: ribosomal RNA, 500 nt
Filed under: uncultured bacterium
Lineage: Bacteria
Description: bacterial SSU rRNA
Rfam family: Bacterial small subunit ribosomal RNA
Source: RNAcentral